RNAcentral lists this long non-coding RNA (851 nucleotides) under Brassica napus (rape). RNAcentral's name for it is "long non-coding RNA (BNAP_LNC018226)". Lineage: Eukaryota; Viridiplantae; Streptophyta; Magnoliopsida; Brassicales; Brassicaceae. The record is from RNAcentral.
UUAUUUAUUCAUAAAUAAAAAAUAACAUAAACUUUUAUUUUUGAUAUUUUCUAUUAUUUUAUUUACAAAUUAUAAAUUUAUUUUACUAUUAAAAUCUAUAAAAUAACUAAACUAAUAAAACUAGAGUACGAUACAUAAUCUAAACCUAAAUUUCCAAAAUCACAAAGAAAAAGCAAAAUACUAUAGUAACACUAACUCAGUAAAAGUCUGGAACACAAAUGAAUGCGAUCAAGCACCAACCCAAAAAAUCAAAAAAACCGGUCUGAAGGAGAAUAAUUAAUGGAAGAUAAAAGUCACCACGAAGCACGAAAACACAUGCCUAAAGCACAACCACCAGCUAAGAGUUAAGAAGCACCUCACAAACAAACAACCACAUACAAGGCGCUCAUUGCCAACGAAGAAUCACAAAGCUCUGAAUAGACCAAAGCUCCAAGAGACUAACUCCACACACCUAUACCAAAGGAAGCAGGAAAAGAAGAAAAACAACAUAAAUGAGGGAGAAUGGAAGCUAGCCACAAAGAAACCAAAUCUCAAGUUUGAGACAAGAAAUAAUCUUCCAAGCCCACAUAACAUACACGAAGGAAAACACUAUCCAAAUCUGGAGUGGCAAACAUGGCGAAAUGGAGAGCCACCAAAGACGCAGCCAGCGAUGAAAAGUGCAACGAGAUGAGAGAACAAAGAGAGAAAAGGAGACUACAAAAAAAUCAAUAAACUGUGGAGCCAUCCUCGAUCUAUGAAGAGAAUGUAAAAGUCAAAUCAGCAAAAACUAGAUCUUAAAAACCAAGACGAGCAGUGACUAUCAACGACAAGCCAACUACGAGGAAGACAACAUUAAAGACAACUAAACUCUG